This is a non-coding RNA of Lupinus albus (white lupine), 461 nucleotides long. The record is from the annotation of a GenBank genome assembly. Lineage: Eukaryota; Viridiplantae; Streptophyta; Magnoliopsida; Fabales; Fabaceae.
UUUAUUAGUUAGAAAAAUCAAGUUAUAAAUAUAAAAACUAACAUAAUACCAUGGACAUAUACAUGCACUUAUUUUUGCAUUGACUUCAUUUCUUGAAGAGCAGAUUAAGGCAUAAAUUUUAGCUAUGAGUAAGGUUUGCCAAGAGGAGGAGGGUUAUGGUGUGCCACUUUCCUUGAAAUAUUUCUCUUCUUAUCUCAUCGUAUCACAAUUUUAGUGGCUGUAGAAGAUAAUUUAUCUUUUUAUACUAGGAGAUACAUUAUUCUCUUCUCACGAUCUAUUCUCAGUUCAGUCAUGACUAGACAGCCACUGAUUCAUGUGAAUCUUUGUUUUUUCUUCACUACAGUUUUGUGUGCAAAGGCUAAAUGUUCAUUCCAAUGGUUGUAUCACCCUCGUGUAGUUUUUUAUCUUGUGUAAACCAUGUUGCAGAAAGGAAAUAAAGCAUUAACUUUUUUGUUUUAGAA